CUUUUGAUGGUUAGCUUGUUAAGAAAUAUUCAGCUCUAGUCUGACCUGAUCUGGUUUCCCAUGGAAAAGAUCUGAUGUCGUUUGAAGGUUCCUAAAUGGAAUGCCAAUGACAAUUUGUUGUUGACGUUCUGCCGCCUCAGCCCUCAGAUGCUGCUGGUUGAUGUGCCGCUUUAGCUUCACCAAAUAAUCCUUGCAGCCACACUGCCUUGGAGCCAUCUGAUUAUGGACUGAAACCUCUACAAACUGUUCUCUACGUCCCUGGAACAUCCGACAAAUCCCUGACAAAAUCUUGAUGGUUUGUUUUGCACAACAGUAAUUGAUUUUUCUUUUAUCAUUUUGCAC
Heterocephalus glaber (naked mole-rat) is the source of this 342-nucleotide long non-coding RNA. The record is from Ensembl. NCBI's taxonomy places the organism in Eukaryota, Metazoa, Chordata, Mammalia, Rodentia, Bathyergidae.